RNAcentral lists this long non-coding RNA (1320 nucleotides) under Manihot esculenta (cassava). RNAcentral's name for it is "long non-coding RNA (MESC_LNC008759)". The record is from RNAcentral. Lineage: Eukaryota; Viridiplantae; Streptophyta; Magnoliopsida; Malpighiales; Euphorbiaceae.
UUGCUUUCCAGUAAAUUUUGACAAUUUUCUUUCGCUGAAAUGCUCUAACAGCAAGGAACCUCACUGAUUUCAAUCGGUUCAUAUGAAUUUUUAAAUUCCUUUCAAAGCCUCAUGCCCAUCAUUCAGUACCCUUCCAAAUCUUCUCUGCCCAAAUUGCGUAUGUUGUAGGUCGAUGCACUAUUCAGACCUUUUCCCAAUGGCCUUUAUAGUUGUCUUCUAGACUUUAGGCUAAACUCCUUCCUCUAGGUUUUUCACUACUCACAUCUACCCAAAUUCUAAAAACACCUAUAAGCUCUAUUUUGUUUGUUGCUUUCUUGAAAGUACUCUGUUUCUUCGACUCUGCUUUCUAACCUUUGUUGGGAAGAAACGCUCGGAACGUCUUCACAGUGAGGAACUUGUUGAUGAUUUCUCUGGGAAUAAAUGUGAGUUUCAUAUUAAGGCUGUUGCCUGUUGUACAAAAAUGUUGACAUAAAGAGAGAGCACGUGGCUAUUGCCGAUUCCUUCAGUGAGGCACUGCCUACGCAGAGGGCAUCUCUAUUCUUGUCCUCCUCAUCCUCCUUCGUAGCUACUUUCCCUAGUGGAGACAAAAGACAGAGUGAUCAAUCUCGACCAAUAUGUGCAAACAAAAAUUUCUUACAUCUUUUAUUCUUUUUUUUUUAUUUUUUCCAAAUCCUAUUUCUUGUGGCUAGAGACAAAUAUCAAAAAUACCUUCCCAGAUGUUUUUGACAUUUCUUGUGUACUAUUUAUAAUCAGCAUGUUGUCAUGUAGUUUUGGUUUUCGGUGUUUUUCAACAAAAUUAACGUUUUCUUUGUCCGCUCAUAAAUUUUCAAGCUAUGGGCAAAACUGAAAUAUCAUUACCAAUAAUUCUUUUUUCUUUAUUUAUUUAUUAGAUUCCAUAGCUCAGGCCUUAUCAACUCAUACUUAAUGACUUUUUUCUGUCAUGUCUCUAUUCCCAAUACUAUUUUAUAGUUUUUUAGAACUUUACCUGCUUAUUAUGAGCUCGUGGGUGAUUUUCCAGUAGCAAUCAGGAAUGCCAGGCAUGGUUAUUUCUAGCGAUAGAUCCUGAAACAGCAGAUUUCUGAAUUAAUCAAACAGAUAUGAAAGACACGUGACUUGAAUUAAAAAUAUAGUGAUUUAUUGCUCCUACGCAAAUAAAAUAUGUUACCCUGCCAAUAUUUUUAUCAACUCUAAUAAAAAAAAAUAUUAUUACCAACAAUUCAUUUAUUAUGUUUGUUUUUUCUAAUACUCGCUUAAUGCAGUGGUGAUCCCACCAUGUAGGAGAGAUUCUAGCAGCAAGAAGGUGACAAGGCUACAAUCGUG